RNAcentral lists this transfer RNA (66 nucleotides) under Bosmina fatalis. Its description in RNAcentral is "tRNA-Tyr". It matches the Rfam family "tRNA". Rfam says of the family: Transfer RNA (tRNA) molecules are approximately 80 nucleotides in length. Their secondary structure includes four short double-helical elements and three loops (D, anti-codon, and T loops). The record is from RNAcentral. Lineage: Eukaryota; Metazoa; Arthropoda; Branchiopoda; Diplostraca; Bosminidae.
AAUGUAAUGGCCGAACAUCUAAGCAUUAGACUGUAAAUCUAACUAUGAAAGUAAUUUCUUACAUUA